Molecule: long non-coding RNA, 219 nt
Filed under: Capsicum annuum
Lineage: Eukaryota; Viridiplantae; Streptophyta; Magnoliopsida; Solanales; Solanaceae
Description: long non-coding RNA (CANN_LNC019909)
Source: RNAcentral
AUUUAUGCAAUAUUUGGUUUUAUGUAAUAUAAACAUUUGCAUUCUCCAAAUAAACGAUUCAUUUGUGUUUUGUGUGAGCGAUAGAAUUUUUCUAUUCAGUGUUAUGCAUGGUUUCUUGGUAACUUCUAGUUUGAUUUUGAAAAACCACAAAAAAAGGAAUUGAAUGGUAUUACUUAUUUCGUCAAGAGGAAGAAACUUAUAAUAUCGUAGCUGCUCAUG